Molecule: ribosomal RNA, 232 nt
Filed under: uncultured bacterium
Lineage: Bacteria
Description: partial 16S ribosomal RNA
Rfam family: Bacterial small subunit ribosomal RNA
Source: RNAcentral
CGGACGGGUGAGUAAUGUCUGGGAAACUGCCCGAUGGAGGGGGAUAACUACUGGAAACGGUAGCUAAUACCGCAUAACGUCACAAGACCAAAGAGGGGGACCUUAGGGCCUCUUGCCAUCGGAUGUGCCCAGAUGGGAUUAGCUAGUAGGUGGGGUAACGGCUCACCUAGGCGACGAUCCCUAGCUGGUCUGAGAGGAUGACCAGCCACACUGGAACUGAGACACGGUCCAG